AAUGUUCGUGGAAUCAGGAUGUAACGAAGCAAACUGCAGUAAUUUGCCCAAAACUGACGCCGUUAUGCCUGACAAAUUUUUUGAAAUGAACACCUACUUUUGUAAUCUGCAGUGUUAGAACUUAUAUUAUAAUUGUGACUCCUAGAGGAAGAAUUCUUGCAGCAUUGAGGAAAGCCAAAUAUGAACUGACUGAUGACCUGGUUCAACGAGUUGAGGGAAUGGUUAAAGAAAACCGAAGAUUCACCAUUACUGCUUUUUCUUCGGAAUUUCCAGAAGUUUCAAGGUCUGUUUUAUACUCUACUGGAAUUCAUUAGCGGCAACUUUCCUUGAAGAUGUAAAAGCUUUUUCCACAGACAUGACAAAUGUCUCAAUCUCUUAUGUCUAAACGUAACAAUAAGUGUACCAAUCUUUGGGUAAUAAAAUUAUCGUUUUA
Diorhabda sublineata is the source of this 433-nucleotide long non-coding RNA. RefSeq lists it as uncharacterized. The transcript is spliced from 3 exons. NCBI's taxonomy places the organism in Eukaryota, Metazoa, Arthropoda, Insecta, Coleoptera, Chrysomelidae. The record is from RefSeq and is a predicted model, not a curated record.